GGUGCCUUCGGGAACUGUGAGACAGGUGCUGCAUGGCUGUCGUCAGCUCGUGUUGUGAAAUGUUGGGUUAAGUCCCGCAACGAGCGCAACCCUUAUCCUUUGUUGCCAGCGGUCCGGCCGGGAACUCAAAGGAGACUGCCAGUGAUAAACUGGAGGAAGGUGGGGAUGACGUCAAGUCAUCAUGGCCCUUACGACCAGGGCUACACACGUGCUACAAUGGCGCAUACAAAGAGAAGCGACCUCGCGAGAGCAAGCGGACCUCAUAAAGUGCGUCGUAGUCCGGAUUGGAGUCUGCAACUCGACUCCAUGAAGUCGGAAUCGCUAGUAAUCGUGGAUCAGAAUGCCACGGUGAAUACGUUCCCGGGCCUUGUACACACCGCCCGUCACACCAUGGGAGUGGGUUGCAAAAGAAGUAGGUAGCUUAACCUUCGGGAGGGCGCUUACCACUUUGUGAUUCAUGACUGGGGUGAAGUCGUAACAAGGUAACCGUAGGGGAACCUGCGGUUGGA
Molecule: ribosomal RNA, 509 nt
Filed under: Escherichia coli
Lineage: Bacteria; Pseudomonadati; Pseudomonadota; Gammaproteobacteria; Enterobacterales; Enterobacteriaceae
Description: bacterial SSU rRNA
Rfam family: Bacterial small subunit ribosomal RNA
Source: RNAcentral